RNAcentral lists this non-coding RNA (24 nucleotides) under Arabidopsis thaliana (thale cress). Lineage: Eukaryota; Viridiplantae; Streptophyta; Magnoliopsida; Brassicales; Brassicaceae. The record is from RNAcentral.
GAACUCUCUCAAAAUUUGAAUGGA